RNAcentral lists this transfer RNA (85 nucleotides) under Patescibacteria group bacterium. RNAcentral describes it as "tRNA-Ser". It matches the Rfam family "tRNA". From Rfam's summary of the family: Transfer RNA (tRNA) molecules are approximately 80 nucleotides in length. Their secondary structure includes four short double-helical elements and three loops (D, anti-codon, and T loops). The record is from RNAcentral. RNAcentral also lists the same sequence under 1 other name.
GGAGAGUAUGCCGAGCGGCUAAGGCAAUGGUUUGCUAAACCAUGGUCGCGAAAGCGGCCGGUGGGUUCGACUCCCGCACUCUCCG